This 334-nucleotide unclassified non-coding RNA is filed under the name soil metagenome. Its description in RNAcentral is "partial contains 5.8S ribosomal RNA, internal transcribed spacer 2, and large subunit ribosomal RNA". The stretch from base 1 to 120 matches the Rfam family "5.8S ribosomal RNA", at positions 35 to 154 of the family's 154-position model. The record is from RNAcentral.
GAUGAAGAACGCAGCGAAAUGCGAUAAGUAGUGUGAAUUGCAGAAUUCAGUGAAUCAUCGAAUCUUUGAACGCACAUUGCGCCCCAUGGUAUUCCGUGGGGCAUGCCUGUUCGAGCGUCAUUUACCCCCUCAAGCUCCGCUUGGUGUUGGGCGUCUGUCCCGCUUCGCGCGCGGACUCGCCCCAAAGGUAUUGGCAGCGGUCGUGCCAGCUUCUCGCGCAGCACAUUGCGCUUCUCGAGGCACCGGUGGGCCCGCGUCCAUCAAGCUCACCCCCCCAGUUUGACCUCGGAUCAGGUAGGGAUACCCGCUGAACUUAAGCAUAUCAAUAGGAGGA